This 560-nucleotide ribosomal RNA is filed under the name uncultured bacterium. Its description in RNAcentral is "bacterial SSU rRNA". It matches the Rfam family "Bacterial small subunit ribosomal RNA", at positions 29 to 582 of the family's 1533-position model. The record is from RNAcentral.
UUGAACGCUGGCGGCAUGCCUUACACAUGCAAGUCGAACGGCAGCACGGACUUCGGUCUGGUGGCGAGUGGCGAACGGGUGAGUAAAGCAUCGGAACGUACCCGAUCGUGGGGGAUAACGCAGCGAAAGCUGCGCUAAUACCGCAUAAGAUCUACGGAUGAAAGCGGGGGACUCGCAAGAGCCUCGCGCGAACGGAGCGGCCGAUGUCAGAUUAGGUAGUUGGUGGGGUAAAGGCCCACCAAGCCGACGAUCUGUAGCUGGUCUGAGAGGACGACCAGCCACACUGGGACUGAGACACGGCCCAGACUCCUACGGGAGGCAGCAGUGGGGAAUUUUGGACAAUGGGCGCAAGCCUGAUCCAGCCAUGCCGCGUGCAGGAAGAAGGCCUUCGGGUUGUAAACUGCUUUUGUACGGAACGAAAAAGCCCUGGCCAAUACCCGGGGCUAAUGACGGUACCGUAAGAAUAAGCACCGGCUAACUACGUGCCAGCAGCCGCGGUAAUACGUAGGGUGCAAGCGUUAAUCGGAAUUACUGGGCGUAAAGCGUGCGCAGGCGGUUUU